This is a non-coding RNA of Phascolarctos cinereus (koala), 1023 nucleotides long. Lineage: Eukaryota; Metazoa; Chordata; Mammalia; Diprotodontia; Phascolarctidae. The record is from RefSeq and is a predicted model, not a curated record.
GGAGUGAUUUGCCAUUUCCUUCUCUAGCUCAUUUUACAGGAACCCACUAAGCCACCUAAAUUACAGAGGAAUUUUGAUCUUCAUAGGUAGGAGGAAUACUGACAUUGCUGAAAUCACAGAUCCCUGAAAUUUUGAAAUCUGGAGCAAGGAUCCCAGCACAUUGAGUAAACUCUGAAGAGGCCAUGGACAAGAGUAUCGGGGGAUAUGGUGUGGAUGAAUUGUCAUCUUCCUAGUUGACAGAAAGACUGACAACAAAGUCUUCAUGCUCAAGUUAACUGUUAAUAAAGUUAAUCGUAGGGGACCAUAUGAAACUAUCCAAUCAUGUUCUUUCAGUUAUUGCUUAGAAAUAUCCUUUGCAUUCUCAUUUCUAAUACUCUGGUUCAAGCUAUUAUCUCAUACCUAGACUACCACUGUACUUAUGUCUUCAUUUAUCUCUUUGCACUGAACUUUUCUUCUUCCACUCAUACUGCAUCAUUCCACCAGAUAAAGGUCUACUUUCAUCAUUGGUGUAAUCUUUACUUACAUCAUUCCUCUGAAUAUCAAUAGGAUAAAGUCCAAAUUCCCUAGCCUGGGAUUCAGGGCCCUCCAACGGUACCAACCUACCUUUCCACUCUUUUGUACUCUUCUUCCUAAAGCAUUCCAUUUGAGCCAAACUAAUUGAACCCUACAAGGAGCCAAUGUGCUUUUUUCCUUUCAUACCUCUGGGUAACUGUGUAUUUCCCUCCCUCUUCAUGUAGUCAAUUCCGAUCUAUCCCUCAAGGCUCAUGUGAAAUGUCUCUUCCUCCAUGAAGGUAUCUCCUAAACCACUCUAGUCAUUCUCUCUCUCUCUCUUUCUCUCUUUCUCUUUCUCUUUCUCUGUUUCUCUCUCUCUCUCUCUCACAUACACACACACACAGUUCAUAGCAUUCAUUUGAAUGUCAAUUUGUAAGAGAUUUAAGGGUGUCCUUGGAAGACUAGUACCUCUGGUGUGAGGGCUUCCAAACCAUUUUCAGUUCUGCUUUCCACCUUUGGUGUCUACCUGUC